Non-coding RNA from Ictalurus furcatus (blue catfish), 754 nucleotides. The record is from the annotation of a RefSeq genome assembly. NCBI's taxonomy places the organism in Eukaryota, Metazoa, Chordata, Actinopteri, Siluriformes, Ictaluridae.
AGCAACCAUGACUUUGAUCAGCGUCUUCAUCUGCACACUGGCCCUCUGGACUCAAGGAUCCAGAGGUCAGGUGACUGUGACUCAGACUCCUUCAGUGCAAACUGUUGAUCCAGGAAAAACAGUCACCUUCAACUGUAGAACCAGUAGCAGAGUGUAUGAUGGUAACUAUCUACACUGGUACCUGCAGAAACCUGGAGAAGCUCCUAAACUCCUGAUCUACUAUGCUACUAGAUUACAGUCAGGAACUCCAGCUCGUUUCAGUGGCAGUGGAUCUAAUACUGACUUCACUCUGACCAUCAGAGGAGUCCAGACUGAAGAUGCAGGAGAUUACUACUGUCAGAGUGCACAUUAUAUCAGUAGUAGCUGGGUGUUCACACAGUGUUAGAGCGCCGUACAAAAACCUCGGUCAGUGAGAGUGCACAGAGAAGCACUGCUGCAGCUGGGAGCGACUGCAGGUGCUGAGGGGGAGGAUGUGAUACAGCACAAUGACACACACUGUGGACGAGAGAAAACACACCACACUAACUCACUAAUGCACACACACAUCUGUGAGAGGAGUCCACCUUUCUCUUUAUUCUGCUCUACAUGAUUAUGUCACAGUCACACUGAUGGCCACAUAAUGCAGUCAGAUAAAACCAUAAAGUUCUGACUCUACUGCUGAGACACUGAGACUCCUCUCUCAUUCUCCAGAGUCUCUGUGUGUUUCUCCAGAAGAGACUGUUAUUAUCAGCUGCAGGACUGGUGUGGAUAUUGU